UACGUAGGCAGCGAGCGUUGUUCGGAGUUACUGGGCGUAAAGGGUGCGCAGGCGGUGGAGCAAGUCUGUUGGGAAAUCUCCCGGCUUAACCGGGAGGGUGCGGCGGAAACUGUUCUGCUGGAGUGAGGGAGAGGCAAGCGGAAUUCCUGGUGUAGCGGUGAAAUGCGUAGAUAUCAGGAGGAACACCCGUGGUGCAGACGGCUUGCUGGACCUCCACUGACGCUGAGGCACGAAAGCGUGGGGAGCAAACAGG
RNAcentral lists this ribosomal RNA (253 nucleotides) under uncultured bacterium. Its description in RNAcentral is "partial 16S ribosomal RNA". It matches the Rfam family "Bacterial small subunit ribosomal RNA", at positions 524 to 776 of the family's 1533-position model. The record is from RNAcentral.